UUUUCUCUUUGGAAAGAUUCAUGCAAACGAGAUCGCCCAAUGAUGUUGACGUUUUGACACCAAUCUGAUUACAUAAGCUCAUUGAUGAACUGCUUAUUUCCGUGUAUAGUGGUUCUACUAAUCAGAUGAACUUUGAUUUCAUUUUCAAAAUAAUAAUAAAAUUCCUGGAAAUCAUGUUGUUACUGUUUGGCAAUGUUGGGUCGAUAUUCCAGAACGUGGAGAGAUAGAAAUCAGUCAGUUUGGUUUGAAUGAUGUGCUUCAGCCAUCAUCAUUCAUUAUCAAGAAACAGCAGUUUCAUUCUUGGUGGUUUCUGGCUAAUCUUUUUUCAUAAAUACCAACUAUGGCCAUUGUUUAGAUGGCCCUCCUUGUCAAAUGGUCUGCUGAACGAGCCCAACCCUAAUUUCCAUCCGAGAGUUGCAUGUGUUCACCCACGUUACAAAUAUGUUUGUGUAAUAAUAACCGGUUGUUUCAGGUCAUGCUUCAAGGGACCUUUUUUUCCUGAUCUCCAUAUUAUGAAAGGAGUUGGGUUUUUAUCAAACUUGGCCGAGCUGAGUGCACCACCAAAUUUGCAAAACCGCAUCAGAUUACACAAGCCCAGAGCUGUCAUCUGGCUGUGACGCAGAGAGGGCCAAUAAUCCUGAGCUGCAUAAUAUGCUACAUUGACUUGAUUUGCAUAAUAUACGGCCAUCAGACACAGCAGCAGAUAUGACCGAGAAAAGAGUGCUCCACUAGGCGGCGGCUCCGGUGAUCUCAGCGUCCGUCUCAGUUGGAGCAUCGCCUCUGCCGGCGGAUUUUUCAAAAGGACCGUCGAAGCUGUCGAUGCCGUCGCGGCAGCCGGCAGGAGCGGUGGCUGACCGGGCAC
Molecule: long non-coding RNA, 862 nt
Organism: Daphnia pulex (common water flea)
Lineage: Eukaryota; Metazoa; Arthropoda; Branchiopoda; Diplostraca; Daphniidae
Exons: 4
Source: RefSeq, a predicted model, not a curated record